AUUGAACGCUGGCGGCAGGCCUAACACAUGCCAGUCGAGCGAGCGGCGGAAGGGUGAGUAAUGUAUGGGGACUGCCCGAUAGAGGGGGAUAAGUACUGGAAACGGUAGCUAAUACCGAAUACUAUCGGAUAAAACAUAUGGGAUUAGCUAGUAGGUGAGGUAAUGGCGCACCUAGGAGACGAGCCCUAGCUGGUCUGAGAGGAUGAUCAGCCACACUGGGACUGAGACACGGCCCAGACUCCGACGGAGGCAGCAGUGGGGAAUAGUGCACAAGGGGCGCAAGCCUGAUGCAGCCAUGCCGCGUGUAUGAAGAAGGCCCUAGGGUUGUAAAGUACUUUCAGUCGGGAGGCGUUACCGACAGAAGAAGCACCGGCUAACUCCGUGCCAGCAGCCGCGGUAAUAC
RNAcentral lists this ribosomal RNA (403 nucleotides) under uncultured bacterium. RNAcentral's name for it is "partial 16S ribosomal RNA". It matches the Rfam family "Bacterial small subunit ribosomal RNA", at positions 29 to 526 of the family's 1533-position model. The record is from RNAcentral.